GAGUUUGAUCCUGGCUCAGAUUGAACGCUGGCGGCAUGCCUUACACAUGCAAGUCGAACGGCAGCACGGGAGCUUGCUCCUGGUGGCGAGUGGCGAACGGGUGAGUAAUGCAUCGGAACGUAUCCUGGAGUGGGGGAUAACGUAGCGAAAGUUACGCUAAUACCGCAUAUUCUGUGAGCAGGAAAGCGGGGGACCUUCGGGCCUCGCGCUCUUGGAGCGGCCGAUGUCGGAUUAGCUAGUUGGUGAGGUAAAGGCUCACCAAGGCGACGAUCCGUAGCAGGUCUGAGAGGAUGAUCUGCCACACUGGAACUGAGACACGGUCCAGACUCCUACGGGAGGCAGCAGUGGGGAAUUUUGGACAAUGGGGGCAACCCUGAUCCAGCCAUGCCGCGUGAGUGAAGAAGGCCUCGGUUGUAAGUACGU
RNAcentral lists this ribosomal RNA (423 nucleotides) under bacterium enrichment culture clone ALO1_GLFRUDD03G8BNI. Its description in RNAcentral is "bacterial SSU rRNA". It matches the Rfam family "Bacterial small subunit ribosomal RNA", at positions 9 to 435 of the family's 1533-position model. The record is from RNAcentral.